CAGAAAGGAUCCCUUUCUGUGCAGGUUGGGAGAGGUGGCAGUGCUCUAUGCUAAAGUGGUAUUGCACUUGUCCCGGCCUGUUGAGGACAGGGGAACAGUUCUG
Molecule: microRNA precursor, 103 nt
Filed under: Poecilia formosa (Amazon molly)
Lineage: Eukaryota; Metazoa; Chordata; Actinopteri; Cyprinodontiformes; Poeciliidae
Description: Danio rerio miR-92a-2 stem-loop (ENSPFOG00000021105.1)
Rfam family: mir-92 microRNA precursor family (bases 13-90)
About the family: This family represents the microRNA precursor mir-92. Human miR-92 has two predicted hairpin precursor sequences: mir-92-1 on chromosome 13 and mir-92-2 on chromosome X. miR-92 has also been cloned from mouse embryonic stem cells.
Source: RNAcentral